UUUGCCUACGGGGGGCAGCAGUGGGGGAUAUUGCACAAUGGGGGAAACCCUGAUGCAGCGACGCCGCGUGUGGGAAGACGGUCCUCUGGAUUGUAAACCACUGUCCCCAGGGACGAAAAUGACGGUACCUGGGGAGGAAGCUCCGGCUAACUACGUGCCAGCAGCCGCGGUAAUACGUAGGGGGCAAGCGUUAUCCGGAUCUACUGGGUGUAAAGGGAGCGUAGACGGCGAUGCAAGUCUGAAGUGAAAGGCGGGGGCCCAACCCCCGGACUGCUUUGGAAACUGUAUAGCUGGAGUGCAGGAGG
RNAcentral lists this ribosomal RNA (305 nucleotides) under uncultured bacterium. Its description in RNAcentral is "partial 16S ribosomal RNA". It matches the Rfam family "Bacterial small subunit ribosomal RNA", at positions 334 to 655 of the family's 1533-position model. The record is from RNAcentral.